GACGAACGCUGGCGGCGUGCUUAACACAUGCCAGUCGAACGGAAAGGCCCUGCUUUUGUGGGGUGCUCGAGUGGCGAACGGGUGAGUAACACGUGAGUAACCUGCCCUUGACUUUGGGAUAACUUCAGGAAACUGGGGCUAAUACCGGAUAGGAGCUCCUGCUGCAUGGUGGGGGUUGGAAAGUUUCGGCGGUUGGGGAUGGACUCGCGGCUUAUCAGCUUGUUGGUGGGGUAGUGGCUUACCAAGGCUUUGACGGGUAGCCGGCCUGAGAGGGUGACCGGCCCCAUUGGGAACUGGAGACGGCCCAGACUCCUACGGGAGGGAGCAGGGGGGAAAUAUUACCAAUGGGGGGAAGCCCUAUGCCGGAACGCCCGGGGGGGGAUGGAGGGCCUUGGGUUUUAAAACCGUUUCCCCUGUGAACAAGGGGGGGGUGAGGGUAAUGGUAAAAAAAGCCCCGCCAAACUACUG
Molecule: ribosomal RNA, 468 nt
Filed under: uncultured bacterium
Lineage: Bacteria
Description: partial 16S ribosomal RNA
Rfam family: Bacterial small subunit ribosomal RNA
Source: RNAcentral